UAAUACGAAGGGAGCUAGCGUUGUUCGGAAUUACUGGGCGUAAAGGGCGCGUAGGCGGCUUCGAUAGUUGGGCGUGAAAUGCCUGGGCUUAACCCAGGAAUUGCGCUCAAUACUGUGAGGCUUGAGUGUGGGAGAGGAUAGUGGAAUUCCCAGUGUAGAGGUGAAAUUCGUAGAUAUUGGGAAGAACACCAGCGGCGAAGGCGGCUAUCUGGACCACAACUGACGCUGAGGCGCGAAAGCGUGGGGAGCAAACAGG
This 256-nucleotide ribosomal RNA is filed under the name uncultured bacterium. RNAcentral's name for it is "partial 16S ribosomal RNA". It matches the Rfam family "Bacterial small subunit ribosomal RNA", at positions 521 to 776 of the family's 1533-position model. The record is from RNAcentral.